GAGAGGGGUCUCCGGACCCCGGGGGCUUCGGUCCCCAACUCUUCACCCUGUGUCUAUGUACCUUUGUUGCUUUGACGGGCCAUGGGCUCCGCCCCAUACCGUUCUCGGGCUUCGCUGCUCGGGGCGGCUCGUGCUCGUCGAAGGCCCAUCGAACUCCAUUUCAUUGUUGUCCGAGCGAAAUCACAAUAGUCAAAAACUUUCAACAACGGAUCUCUUGGUUCU
Molecule: unclassified non-coding RNA, 222 nt
Filed under: rhizosphere metagenome
Description: partial ribosomal RNA internal transcribed spacer region
Source: RNAcentral